UAAGAAAAGAGAACUAUAGAGAGAAAAUGAAAGGAACCCCAUUCGCGUUUCGCUCAUAUCAAAACGCUGCGUUUUAUUCACCGCCCUUUCUUCAGCACAUUACAUCCUUCAGAAGCUUGUACCUCCGCGUGGUCGGCCUCGGCGACGGAGUACCACCGCCGCCGCCGUGUUUCCCCUUCUCGAUCGCGGUGGCAGAAUCAUCAUGAUGGUGCUUGAUUUUGUCGCCGGAAUACUCGGAGCGGUUGAUGAUUCCGGCGGCGUUUGUACCCGACGACGGUAGUCUCCGGGAGGAGCUUCCGUGUGAUCGGGAGGAACUCCGACCUUCACACUGACACCAAUCACACACCUCUAUUGGCUCCGCCGAUUCGCUAUAGUAAUUGCUGCAGUAUGAGUGUUGGAAGCGGUUGCGGCACUUGUUACAGCGGAAGAGCUUGUCAGGGAAACCG
This 446-nucleotide unclassified non-coding RNA is filed under the name Hevea brasiliensis (rubber tree). The record is from RNAcentral. Lineage: Eukaryota; Viridiplantae; Streptophyta; Magnoliopsida; Malpighiales; Euphorbiaceae.